RNAcentral lists this long non-coding RNA (757 nucleotides) under Homarus americanus (American lobster). Its description in RNAcentral is "uncharacterized LOC121854489, transcript variant X3". The record is from RNAcentral. Lineage: Eukaryota; Metazoa; Arthropoda; Malacostraca; Decapoda; Nephropidae.
GUCCUCCCAUACACACACCCUCACUCCCAUCCAUACACUCACCCUCUCUCACACACCCAACCUCCCACCUUUAAUGUGUGUGGAUGGGACUAAGGUUUUCUCAUUUCUUUCAGAUUGUGCGCCUCCGAGGUGAACGUCUGACUGAAGUGAACGUGUGGCUGGUCGAGAACUCCUCCAAACAGGUAAAGUACUUAUGACAAUAUAUAAUGUCUAUAUGCAAGUAUUUAUGAAUGUUAUGUUUUAAAGUUUUUUGUAUUCCAGGUUUGUUUGUGUGGCUGACUGGACCUACUACAAGGUGCUUCUUGGAGAUACAUCAGUGAUGGUGAGGCCGUCACAUUACCAGCGGUUGUGGAUUUCACAAUUCAACCUUUAUAUUGCAGACUCCACAUAAGGUAAAACACUUCCAUUCAGCAAUUGGUGUGCAGUGUCCAGAUUGUCAACAUUUAGUUCAGUAUGAUGUUACUUCUGGCCAGCUUAACCUGAGGAGAAAGUCAGUACAGUACACGAUUAGAUUUUGAAAAGGAAACUGCAAAAUCUCAUGGUGUUGUCCCGACCUCCGUAAAGUGUCAUUAAUGCAAGAACGAAUGUAAGUGUCGUCAAGACCAACACAUGUGGUAACUCCAACGAGAACCAGGCCAAUAAGACACUGUACUGUACGUCGCCGCUCUUCAGUGACUACAUCACAACACAUUCACGUAAAGAGUUCUCAGUUAAAUCAGUCGUUGUAAACAAGGAAAUAAAUAACUUUCUCCUAUUA